RNAcentral lists this ribosomal RNA (376 nucleotides) under uncultured bacterium. RNAcentral describes it as "bacterial SSU rRNA". It matches the Rfam family "Bacterial small subunit ribosomal RNA", at positions 28 to 404 of the family's 1533-position model. The record is from RNAcentral.
GACGAACGCUGGCGGCGUGCUUAACACAUGCAAGUCGAGCGGUAAGGCCCUUUCGGGGGUACACGAGCGGCGAACGGGUGAGUAACACGUGGGUGACCUGCCCUUAGCUCUGGGAUAAGCCUGGGAAACUGGGUCUAAUACCGGAUAUGACUCCAUGACGCAUGUUGUGGGGUGGAAAGCCUUGUGCGGCUAGGGAUGGGCCCGCGGCCUAUCAGCUUGUUGGUGGGGUGAUGGCCACCAAGGCGACGACGGUAGCCGGCCUGAGAGGGCGACCGGCCACACUGGGACUGAGACACGGCCCAGACUCCUACGGGAGGCAGCAGGUGGGGAAUCUUGCGCAAGUGGGACGAAAGCCUGACGCAGCGACGCCGCGUGA